AACAAUAAGCUGUUCGUCCCCCCCGACGUCCAACUUUUUCAAACACACCUCCGUGUACCUCUCCCCUUUUGCUUCCCCGAGGCCGCCCACUCAGGCGCGCGCCCCGGGGGAGGUCAGGAGGCCUGGCCGCUCAGCGCGGCCGGGUCCCCGAAGCUCUUCCGCGUUCCGUCUGGAUGUCUGUCUGAACAAAAACUAAGAUACAAUCUUAAA
RNAcentral lists this unclassified non-coding RNA (210 nucleotides) under uncultured fungus. Its description in RNAcentral is "sequence contains ITS1". Lineage: Eukaryota; Fungi. The record is from RNAcentral.